UUUUUUUUUAAUUGAGACGGAGUCUCGCUCUUUUGCUCAGGCGGAGGUUGAAGAGAGCAGAGAUUGCGCCACUGCGCUCUAGCCUGGGUCACAAGAGCGAAACUCCGUCUCAAUAACAACAACAAAAAUAACCCAGGAGUGGCUCAAGAGUCCAGUGUGGGACGAAAAUAUAAACAGAGGAAGACAACAUAUGUCAUUGGGGAGGCUGGGGGAGCUAGACAAAAUUCACACGGGAGGGGCAGGGCUGAGAUGAUAUUGUGCCCUGCGUCUGUGCAAAUGUCGGGACCAGAAUCCACUAUAAGUUUCAUUCUUCGGAGACACGGAGGCUCUGCACUGGAGGCCGGGACUCAGGCGUGGACGAGAAUCUUUUCCUUAUUCACCGGGAAAGCUGUGUCUUGUGCAAACAAGUCAUAGAAACUUGAUGGGAGUCGGGGAGGGACUGAAGGAUGGAAGCAAGGUUCUGGGAAAGAGUAAGAAGUAGUGAAGGCCGAGGGGCCCCCAUCACAGGCCGACGGGGUAAGACUUCGAGAGAGCCUGAUCCUGGGGUCUUCUGAGACUCCACCAGGAGCCAGAGAGGGCAGGGAGUCAAAUCCGGCUAGGAGGUUACAAAUUGCUUUUCCUGGGCUGGGCUCCUG
This 635-nucleotide small RNA is filed under the name Pongo abelii (Sumatran orangutan). Its description in RNAcentral is "processed transcript". Lineage: Eukaryota; Metazoa; Chordata; Mammalia; Primates; Hominidae. The record is from RNAcentral.